RNAcentral lists this ribosomal RNA (409 nucleotides) under bacterium. RNAcentral describes it as "partial 16S ribosomal RNA". It matches the Rfam family "Bacterial small subunit ribosomal RNA", at positions 355 to 776 of the family's 1533-position model. The record is from RNAcentral.
UGGGGAAUAUUGCACAAUGGGCGAAAGCCUGAUGCAGCGACGCCGCGUGAGGGAUGACGGCCUUCGGGUUGUAAACCUCUUUCAGUAGGGACGAAGCGCAAGUGACGGUACCUGCAGACGAAGCACCGGCUAACUACGGGCCAGCAGCCGCGGUAAUACGUAGGGUGCGAGCGUUGUCCGGAAUUACUGGGCGUAAAGAGCUCGUAGGCGGUUUGUCACGUCGUCUGUGAAAUCCUAGGGCUUAACCCUGGACGUGCAGGCGAUACGGGCUGACUUGAGUACUACAGGGGAGACUGGAAUUUCUGGUGUAGCGGUGGAAUGCACAGAUAUCAGGAAGAACACCGAUGGCGAAGGAAGGUCUCUGGGUAGUAACUGACGCUGAGGAGCGAAAGCAUGGGUAGCGAACAGG